UUCAACAGCAAUGACUUUGCAACACAUUUCCCUUUGCGCUGCUCCUUUAAAUCCGCGUUUCAGUCAUCCGUGCCUCUGCGGUGCAAGCUUUCCUUUGCGCUUCAUUUUUUCUUUGCGCCUCGCUUUGUGUCCCUGAUUUGACGUGGGGGAGGGGUCAAGAGGUUGAGGUGUGUACAAGGGAUGAAGGCGCGUCCUUCUCGUUACGUCAUCAGCGCGAGCCCCAGACCGAGUGGAUCGAUCGAAAUGGAGGAGCAGAGACAUGCGGGUGAUGGAUCACAGGUGGAGGAAGAAGAAACUGAUCACUCUGCAUGGUAUGAUCAAAUUAUUAACUGUGGUUUUAUUGGGGCCGUUAAACCUGAGAACAAAGAGGCCAUAAUAAGAUCAAUUGUGCUUCAUGCAACUCUACGUUUGGUCCCUUUGUUGAAGCAAAUCUGAACAGGUCUUGAACUCUCCAAUCCUGGAAAACCAUUCAGGACUUUGCCACCAGUUCUUUUUCCCUGAUGUGGUGGAUGAUGAUGAUAAGGCUGAUGCAGACUUCAUCAUGCAGAACAUUCUUCCGAAAAUGUCGGAGAAGGGAUCAGUACAAGAGACUUAUGAAACCGCUAUAAUCAACUUUCUGCAAGACUUUCUCCAAGAAAUUGAAAGCUGUGUUAUGUAUGAACUGACAGAGUUGAUUUAGUAUAAAUAUUGUAAAAAAAAACCCACAAAUUAAUGUUAAAAUGUAAUUGAUUUAAUUCAGACAAUAUCAACCCCAUCCAAGCCAUUCAAUUUGACAACGGUUUAAACUGAAUUUAAAAUUAUACUA
Long non-coding RNA from Carassius auratus (goldfish), 805 nucleotides. RefSeq lists it as uncharacterized. The transcript is spliced from 4 exons. NCBI's taxonomy places the organism in Eukaryota, Metazoa, Chordata, Actinopteri, Cypriniformes, Cyprinidae. The record is from RefSeq and is a predicted model, not a curated record.